RNAcentral lists this ribosomal RNA (324 nucleotides) under uncultured eukaryote. RNAcentral describes it as "partial 18S ribosomal RNA". It matches the Rfam family "Eukaryotic small subunit ribosomal RNA", at positions 1470 to 1796 of the family's 1831-position model. The record is from RNAcentral.
CCCUUAGAUGUUCUGGGCCGCACGCGCGCUACACUGAUGCAUUCAACAAGUUCACCUUGGCCGAGAGGCUUGGGCAAUCUUUUGAACAUGCAUCGUGAUAGGGAUAGAUUAUUGCAAUUAUUAAUCUUGAACGAGGAAUUCCUAGUAAACGUAGAUCAUCAAUCUGCAUUGAUUACGUCCCUGCCCUUUGUACACACCGCCCGUCGCACCUACCGAUUGAAUGGUCCGGUGAAGCCUCGAGAUUGUGGCCAGCUCGCUUUAUUGUGGCGUGACCGCGAGAACUUGUCUAAACCUUAUCAUCUAGAGGAAGGUGAAGUCGUAACA